GACGAACGCUGGCGGCGUGCUUAACACAUGCAAGUCGAACGGAAAGGCCCUGCUUGCAGGGUACUCGAGUGGCGAACGGGUGAGUAACACGUGGGUGAUCUGCCCUGCACUUCGGGAUAAGCCUGGGAAACUGGGUCUAAUACCGGAUAGGAGCCAUUUUUAGUGUGAUGGUUGGAAAGUUUUUUCGGUGUAGAAUGAGCUCGCGGCCUAUCAGCUUGUUGGUGGGGUAAUGGCCUACCAAGGCGGCGACGGGUAGCCGGCCUGAGAGGGUGGACGGCCACAUUGGGACUGAGAUACGGCCCAGACUCCUACGGGAGGCAGCAGUGGGGAAUAUUGCACAAUGGGCGCAAGCCUGAUGCAGCGACGCCGCGUAGGGGAUGACGGCCUUCGGGUUGUAAACUCCUUUCGCUAGGGACGAAGCUUUUUGUGACGGUACCUAGAUAAGAAGCACCGGCUAACUACGUG
RNAcentral lists this ribosomal RNA (465 nucleotides) under uncultured bacterium. Its description in RNAcentral is "partial 16S ribosomal RNA". It matches the Rfam family "Bacterial small subunit ribosomal RNA", at positions 28 to 507 of the family's 1533-position model. The record is from RNAcentral.